UAAGAGAAUGGAGAGGUUGCCAUCCACUCU
Molecule: non-coding RNA, 30 nt
Filed under: Rattus norvegicus (Norway rat)
Lineage: Eukaryota; Metazoa; Chordata; Mammalia; Rodentia; Muridae
Source: RNAcentral